This 321-nucleotide ribosomal RNA is filed under the name uncultured Chloroflexota bacterium. Its description in RNAcentral is "bacterial SSU rRNA". It matches the Rfam family "Bacterial small subunit ribosomal RNA", at positions 28 to 351 of the family's 1533-position model. The record is from RNAcentral. Lineage: Bacteria; Bacillati; Chloroflexota.
GAUGAACGCUGGCGGCGUGCCUAAUACAUGCAAGUCGAACGGGAAAUGUAGCAAUACAUUUUUAGUGGCGAACGGGUGAGUAACGCGUUGGUGACCUGCCCCGAAGCGUGGGAUAACAGUUCGAAAGGAUUGCUAAUACCACAUGUGGUUAUGUGAGUUAGAGAAAGAUAACUAAAGGAGAAAUUCACUUCGGGAGGGGCCUGCGUCCCAUCAGCUAGUUGGUGAGGUAAAAGCCCACCAAGGCGAUGACGGGUAGGGGACCUGAGAGGGUGACCCCCCACAAUGGAACUGAAACACGGUCCAUACACCUACGGGAGGCAG